Molecule: ribosomal RNA, 440 nt
Filed under: uncultured bacterium
Lineage: Bacteria
Description: partial 16S ribosomal RNA
Rfam family: Bacterial small subunit ribosomal RNA
Source: RNAcentral
CCUACGGGAGGCAGCAGUGGGGAAUAUUGCACAAUGGGGGAAACCCUGAUGCAGCGACGCCGCGUGAGUGAGGAAGUAUUUCGGUACGUAAAGCUCUAUCAGCAGGGAAGAAAAUGACGGUACCUGACUAAGAAGCCCCGGCUAACUACGUGCCAGCAGCCGCGGUAAUACGUAGGGGGCAAGCGUUAUCCGGAUUUACUGGGUGUAAAGGGAGCGUAGACGGUUAAUCAAGUCAGAAGUGAAAUGCCAGGGCUCAACCUUGGGACUGCUUUUGAAACUGAGGAGCUAGAGUGCAGGAGAGGUAAGCGGAAUUCCUGGUGUAGCGGUGAAAUGCGUAGAUAUUAGGAGGAACACCAGUGGCGAAGGCGGCUUACUGGACUGUAACUGACGUUGAGGCUCGAAGGCGUGGGGAGCAAACAGGAUUAGAUACCCCUGUAGUC